UGAGUUUAUGACUUCAUAAAUUUUUAAUUGUAGCAGUUUUCCAAUCUUUUGUAUUUCAGGGCAGGAUGUGAUGGAUUUGGAUGUUGCAUCUUAUCAGUACUCAAAUGACAGAAGAGAGUAAAGUCCACAGUUAUUUCCUCUCCAAAUGUCCCUGAGAGUCAUGAAUAAUGUCCAGAUUUAACUUAGAUCUCCAAGCUGAUGGAGAACUAUAUAUAUCUAAUAAAGAAGGAUUCAAUAAUAAA
This is a long non-coding RNA of Tachysurus fulvidraco (yellow catfish), 242 nucleotides long. RefSeq lists it as uncharacterized. Lineage: Eukaryota; Metazoa; Chordata; Actinopteri; Siluriformes; Bagridae. The transcript is spliced from 2 exons. The record is from RefSeq and is a predicted model, not a curated record.